AGGGAAGUUUUCAGUCCAAUUGCGUUAUUUUGUUUCUUAUUAUUUAUUUAUUUAUCUUAUUUUAUUUGCGUUAUAGUGUUUUCUGACAUUGGGGACAAUGUCAAGUUUAAGUGUGGGGGUAGAAAUCUCUAGAAUUUCAUUUGUUUUUGUGUUGUUGCUUUUUGUUUUCUUUAAAAAAAUAAAAAAAAAAAAAAAAAUUCGGAAAAUUUAAAAAUCCAAAAAUAUUUUCUUGUUUCCCUUAUUGUUUUGAAUUAGAUUUUUGUUAGUUUCCCGACCCAAUGAUAUAAUUGGAUCAAAUUUG
This 301-nucleotide long non-coding RNA is filed under the name Malus domestica (apple). RNAcentral's name for it is "long non-coding RNA (MDOM_LNC006885)". Lineage: Eukaryota; Viridiplantae; Streptophyta; Magnoliopsida; Rosales; Rosaceae. The record is from RNAcentral.